AGAGAGAGAGAGAGAGAGAGACAGAGGGAUGUUUGUGUGAGAAGAUGCAGAAGGAUGUUGUGUAUUGAUGUCUUCUGUGUUUGACUUUAUGUUGUUUGUUUUUGUUUUACUUCGUACUGUUCUACUUUCGCUUUGAGGGGACAGCCAUUGGUUUCUAAAAUAGACAUAGCGGAGACGUUCUGUGUUGGGUGGGAUAUCCCAAAGGAAAGGGCA
RNAcentral lists this non-coding RNA (213 nucleotides) under Fragilariopsis kerguelensis. Lineage: Eukaryota; Bacillariophyta; Bacillariophyceae; Bacillariales; Bacillariaceae. The record is from RNAcentral.